Molecule: non-coding RNA, 148 nt
Filed under: Gorilla gorilla gorilla (western lowland gorilla)
Lineage: Eukaryota; Metazoa; Chordata; Mammalia; Primates; Hominidae
Source: Rfam by way of RNAcentral
GCUGGGCGUGGUGGCGCACACCUGUAAUCCCAGCUACUCAGGAGGCUAAGGCAGGAGAAUCGCUUGAACCCAGGGGGUGGAGGUUGCAGUGAGCUGAGAUCACACUACUGCACUCCAGCCUGGGUGACAGAGCGAGACCCCGUCUAAA